GGGGAAUUUUCCGCAAUGGGCGAAAGCCUGACGGAGCAAUACCGCGUGAGGGAGGAAGGCUCUUGGGUUGUAAACCUCUUUUCUCAGGGAAUAAGAACUGAAGGUACCUGAGGAAUCAGCAUCGACUAACUCCGUGCCAGCAGCCGCGGUAAUACGGAGGAUGCAAGCGUUAUCCGGAAUGAUUGGGCGUAAAGCGUCCGCAGGUGGUUUAUCAAGUCUGCUGUCAAAGAGUUUGGCUCAACCAAAUAAAGGCAGUGGAAACUGACAGACUGGAGUGCGGUAAGGGCAGAGGGAAUUCCUGGUGUAGCGGUGAAAUGCGUAGAGAUCAGGAAGAACACCGGUGGCGAAAGCGCUCUGCUGGGCCGUAACUGACACUGAGGGACGAAAGCUAGGGGAGCGAAUGGGAUUAGAUACCCCAGUAGUCA
This 425-nucleotide ribosomal RNA is filed under the name uncultured cyanobacterium. RNAcentral describes it as "bacterial SSU rRNA". It matches the Rfam family "Bacterial small subunit ribosomal RNA", at positions 356 to 796 of the family's 1533-position model. Lineage: Bacteria; Bacillati; Cyanobacteriota. The record is from RNAcentral.